Molecule: ribosomal RNA, 500 nt
Filed under: uncultured bacterium
Lineage: Bacteria
Description: partial 16S ribosomal RNA
Rfam family: Bacterial small subunit ribosomal RNA
Source: RNAcentral
AUUGAACGCUGGCGGAAUGCUUUACACAUGCAAGUCGAACGGCAGCACGGACUUCGGUCUGGUGGCGAGUGGCGAACGGGUGAGUAAUGUAUCGGAACGUGCCCAGUCGUGGGGGAUAACGUAGUGAAAAUUACGCUAAUACCGCAUACGAUCUAUGGAUGAAAGCGGGGGAUCGCAAGACCUCGCGCGAUUGGAGCGGCCGAUAUCAGAUUAGGUAGUGGGUGGGGUAAAGGCCCACCAAGCCAACGAUCUGUAGCUGGUCUGAGAGGACGACCAGCCACACUGGAACUGAGACACGGUCCAUACUCCUACGGGAGGCAGCAGUGGGGAAUUUUGGACAAUGGGCGAAAGCCUGAUCCAGCCAUUCCGCGUGCAGGAUGAAGGCCCUCGGGUUGUAAACUGCUUUUGUACAGAACGAAAAGGUUUCUACUAAUACUAGGAGCUCAUGACGGUACUGUAAGAAUAAGCACCGGCUAACUAGGUGCCAGCCGCCGCAGUAA